This 447-nucleotide ribosomal RNA is filed under the name uncultured bacterium. RNAcentral describes it as "partial 16S ribosomal RNA". It matches the Rfam family "Bacterial small subunit ribosomal RNA", at positions 29 to 523 of the family's 1533-position model. The record is from RNAcentral.
AACGAACGCUGGCGGCAGGCCUAACACAUGCAAGUCGAGCGCCCCGCAAGGGGAGCGGCGGACGGGUGAGUAACGCGUGGGAACGUGCCCUUUGCUACGGAAUAGCCUCGGGAAACUGAGAGUAAUACCGUAUGUGCCCUUCGGGGGAAAGAUUUAUCGGCAAAGGAUCGGCCCGCGUUGGAUUAGGUAGUUGGUGGGGUAAUGGCCUACCAAGCCGACGAUCCAUAGCUGGUUUGAGAGGAUGAUCAGCCACACUGAGACUGAGACACGGCCCAGACUCCUACGGGAGGCAGCAGUGGGGAAUCUUAGACAAUGGGCGCAAGCCUGAUCUAGCCAUGCCGCGUGAGCGAUGAAGGCCUUAGGGUUGUAAAGCUCUUUCAGUGGGGAAGAUAAUGACUGUACCCACAGAAGAAGCCCCGGCUAACUCCGUGCCAGCCGCCGCCGUAA